RNAcentral lists this ribosomal RNA (333 nucleotides) under Triticum aestivum (bread wheat). Its description in RNAcentral is "partial small subunit ribosomal RNA". The record is from RNAcentral. Lineage: Eukaryota; Viridiplantae; Streptophyta; Magnoliopsida; Poales; Poaceae.
AUGGACCUCGCCGUCGGGGCCAACCACUGGGGCGGCGGAGCAAGCUCCCAUGUCUGGACGGGAGGGAGAGUAGAGGAAGAUCUGGUCUGGUCCGACCGGGUUGGUCGGUUGACCAGGUGCGAUUUUUUUAGUUUUGACGAAUUUGCAAAAGAAACCCUCAAAUGCCUACGUAUUAAUGUUGUUGCGACGACGUGGCCAGUCAACGCCAAGUGGAUCCAGUCGACCGCCGCCAAAUCAACGAAUACAUACACAAAAUUGUAUAAUGGACCGUGUGCGACCCACCAGAGCAAGUUUAGGAAUGGUAUUUCGGGUAUUUCUAACCACAGGGACUAA